UACGAAGGGGGCGAGCGUUGUUCGGAGUUACUGGGCGUAAAGGGCGCGUAGGCGGCGAUCCAAGUUAGGCGUGAAAGCCCCGGGCUUAACCUGGGAAUUGCGCUUAAGACUGGAUUGCUUGAGUGCGGGAGAGGUGAGUGGAAUUCCCAGUGUAGAGGUGAAAUUCGUAGAUAUUGGGAAGAACACCAGUGGCGAAGGCGGCUCACUGGCCCGCAACUGACGCUGAGGCGCGAAAGCGUGGGGAGCAAACAGG
RNAcentral lists this non-coding RNA (253 nucleotides) under Oceanibaculum sp. Its description in RNAcentral is "partial 16S ribosomal RNA". It matches the Rfam family "Bacterial small subunit ribosomal RNA", at positions 524 to 776 of the family's 1533-position model. Lineage: Bacteria; Pseudomonadati; Pseudomonadota; Alphaproteobacteria; Rhodospirillales; Oceanibaculaceae. RNAcentral also lists the same sequence under 3 other names. The record is from RNAcentral.